GAUGAAGAACGUAGCGAAAUGCGAUAAGUAAUGCGAAUUGCAGAUUUCAGUGAGUCAUCGAAUCUUUGAACGCACAUUGCGCCCGCCAGUAUUCUGGCGGGCAUGCCUGUUCGAGCGUCAUUUCAACCAUCAAGCCCCCGGGCUUGCGUUGGGGCCCUGCGGCUGCCGCAGGCCCCGAAAAGCAGUGGCGGGCUCGCUGUCACACCGAGCGCAGUAGCGAUUCUCGCUCCGGGCGUCGGCGGCGGGCACCGGCCGUGAAACCCCCCCGCAUCCACAAGGUUGACCUCGGAUCAGGUAGGAAUACCCGCUGAACUUAAGCAUAUCAAUAAGCGGAGGA
This 337-nucleotide unclassified non-coding RNA is filed under the name soil metagenome. RNAcentral's name for it is "partial contains 5.8S ribosomal RNA, internal transcribed spacer 2, and large subunit ribosomal RNA". The stretch from base 1 to 120 matches the Rfam family "5.8S ribosomal RNA", at positions 35 to 154 of the family's 154-position model. The record is from RNAcentral.